AGAGUUUGAUCAUGGCUCAGGAUGAACGCUAGCUACAGGCUUAACACAUGCAAGUCGAGGGGCAGCAUGGUCUUAGCUUGCUAAGGCCGAUGGCGACCGGCGCACGGGUGAGUAACGCGUAUCCAACCUUCCCCUUAGUAGGGCAUAGCCCGUAGAAAUGCGGAUUAAUACCCUAUGUUGUCAGUAGAGGACAUCUGAAGUUGACCAAAGGUUCACCGCUAAGGGAUGGGGAUGCGUCCGAUUAGGCAGUCGGCGGGGUAACGGCCCACCGAGCCGUCGAUCGGUAGGGGUUCUGAGAGGAAGGUCCCCCACACUGGUACUGAGACACGGACCAGACUCCUACGGGAGGCAGCAGUGAGGAAUAUUGGUCAAUGGGCGUAAGCCUGAACCAGCCAAGUAGCGUGCAGGACGACGGCCCUACGGGUUGUAAACUGCUUUUAUGCGGGGAUAACCGGCGCCACGCGUGGCGCCCUGCAGGUACCGCAUGAAUAAGGACCGGCUAAUUCCGUGCCAGCCGCCGC
This 521-nucleotide ribosomal RNA is filed under the name uncultured bacterium. RNAcentral's name for it is "bacterial SSU rRNA". It matches the Rfam family "Bacterial small subunit ribosomal RNA", at positions 8 to 518 of the family's 1533-position model. The record is from RNAcentral.